CCUACGGGAGGCAGCAGUGGGGAAUAUUGGACAAUGGGCGAAAGCCUGAUCCAGCCAUGCCGCGUGUGUGAAGAAGGUCUUCGGAUUGUAAAGCACUUUAAGUUGGGAGGAAGGGCAGUAAAUUAAUACUUUGCUGCUUUGACGUUACCGACAAAAUAAGCACCGGCUAACUACGUGCCAGCAGCCGCGGUAAUACGUAGGGUGCAAGCGUUAAUCGGAAUUACUGGGCGUAAAGCGUGCGCAGGCGGUUUUGUAAGUCUGAUGUGAAAUCCCCGGGCUCAACCUGGGAACUGCAUUGGAGACUGCAAGGCUAGAGUGUGUCAGAGGGGGGUAGAAUUCCACGUGUAGCAGUGAAAUGCGUAGAGAUGUGGAGGAAUACCGAUGGCGAAGGCAGCCCCCUGGGAUAACACUGACGCUCAUGCACGAAAGCGUGGGGAGCAAACAGGAUUAGAUACCCUGGUAGUCCUAGCCCUAAACGAUGUCUACUAGUUGUCGGGACUUAAUUGUCUUGGUAACGCAGCUAACGCGUGAAGUAGACCGCCUGGGGAGUACGGUCGCAAGAUUAAAACUCAAAGGAAUUGACGG
Molecule: ribosomal RNA, 585 nt
Filed under: uncultured Oxalobacteraceae bacterium
Lineage: Bacteria; Pseudomonadati; Pseudomonadota; Betaproteobacteria; Burkholderiales; Oxalobacteraceae
Description: bacterial SSU rRNA
Rfam family: Bacterial small subunit ribosomal RNA
Source: RNAcentral